RNAcentral lists this ribosomal RNA (495 nucleotides) under uncultured bacterium. Its description in RNAcentral is "bacterial SSU rRNA". It matches the Rfam family "Bacterial small subunit ribosomal RNA", at positions 29 to 521 of the family's 1533-position model. The record is from RNAcentral.
AGCGAACGUUUGCGGCGGGCUUAACACAUGCAAGUCGAACGAGAAUCCCUUCGGGGAGGAAAGUGGCGCACGGGUGCGUAACACGUGGAUAACCAACCCAUUGGUUUGGGACAACACCGGGAAACUGGUGCUAAUACCAGAUGUGUCGCAGCUGUCUUCAGGCGGUUGCGAGAAAGGCCCGCAAGGGUCGCCAACGGACGGGUCCGCGUCCCAUCAGCUAGUUGGUGAGGUAAUGGCUCACCAAGGCAAAGACGGGUAGCUGGUCUGAGAGGAUGAUCAGCCACACUGGAACUGAGACACGGUCCAGACUCCUACGGGAGGCAGCAGUGGGGAAUAUUGCGCAAUGGGCGAAAGCCUGACGCAGCCACGCCGCGUGAGCGAUGAAGGUCUUCGGAUCGUAAAGCUCUGUGGGGGGAGAAGAAGAAAGCCGGUGAAGAGCCGGCCUGACGGUAUCCCUUAGCAAGCACCGGCUAACUCCGUGCCAGCAGCCGCGGU